UACGAAGGGGGCGAGCGUUGUUCGGAUUUACUGGGCGUAAAGGGCGCGUAGGCGGCCCACUUUGUCAGGCGUGAAAGCCCUGGGCUCAACCUGGGAAUAGCGCUUGGGACGGGUGGGCUUGAGAUCGGGAGAGGAGAGUGGAAUUCCCAGUGUAGAGGUGAAAUUCGUAGAUAUUGGGAAGAACACCGGUGGCGAAGGCGGCUCUCUGGACCGUAACUGACGCUGAGGCGCGAAAGCGUGGGGAGCAAACAGG
RNAcentral lists this ribosomal RNA (253 nucleotides) under uncultured bacterium. RNAcentral describes it as "partial 16S ribosomal RNA". It matches the Rfam family "Bacterial small subunit ribosomal RNA", at positions 524 to 776 of the family's 1533-position model. The record is from RNAcentral.